CUCAUCAAUUUACCCAGACCUUCAGGAAAGUGGUAUAGGUGCAGGCCUGCUGCAGUCUCCUGUCUGGAGAGAAUUAGAAGAGAACAAUGCAGAUGGACCCUGGCCCACAGGUGCCUUUAUACUGGCUUGGCUUUGUCUAUGCAGCACUGGCUGCUUUAGGUGGGAUCAGUGGUUAUGCAAAAGUAGGUUCUGUCCAGUCCCCUUCUGCUGGAUUCUUCUUCAGUGAGUUAGCAGGCCUGGAUGCUUCUCAGCCAUCACGGAAUCCAAAGGAACAUUUGAGUUCUCCCGUUUACAUCUGGGAUCUUGCUAGGUAUUAUGCGAAUAAGAUUCUAACACUCUGGAACAUUUACGCUUGUGGGUUUAGUUGCAGGUGCCUGCUGAUAGUUUCCAAACUUGGAAGUAUGUAUGGUGAACAGAUCCUGUCAGUUGUAGCUAUGUCUCAGCUUGGACUCAUGAAGAAUUAAAAAUCUCCCAACUUCCACUAUUUUUAAUAUACUCUGAGAAAUAAGUCUAUAAAUUCACAUAGUCUGAUAUUUUACUUAAAAAAAAAAUGGAACUGAACUUGGCAGGAAAAAACUCAGUCAUUGUCAUUACAAUCUUACAGAGGUGGCAAGUAUACACCACAAGAGAUUACUAUUGUUCAGUUUUUGCAUGUUGAUAUUAUCUCCCCUUUUUCUUUUUGAGACAAGGUCUCACUCUAUUGCCCAGGCUGGGGUGCAGUGAUGCCUGCAGCCUCGACCUCCUGGGCUCAAGCAAUACUUCUGCCUCAGUCUCCUGAGUAACUAGGACUACAGGUGCCUGCUACCAUGCCCAGUUUUUUACUGUUGUUGUUGUUCGUUUCUUUAUCUUUGAAGAGACAAUGUCUUGCUAUAUUGCCCAGGCUGGUCUUACAGCCUCAGGCAAUCCUCUGGUCUUGACGUCCCAAAUUGCUGAGAUUACAGGGAUGAGCAACCAUGCCUGGCCUUUUUAUCUCCUCUUUCUGUGUCUAUAGGUAAAAUCUCAAGGUAGAAAAUAAUAGAUGUCAACACUGGGGAAUCUGAAACCUCAUGCCCUACUCAGAAGAAAAACACGAAAGAAAAAGCUCUUUGAGAUUUAGGGUAUCUGUUCUUUUGCUCAUCUUACAGCACAGAGCUACUCUGAAAUUAUGUUAAAUGAAAUAUCAAUAAAAAUAAAGUUUACUAAAAAUAAAAAGCAUCCUUAAUAAACACUGUCAAAGAUCAAUAUUUUUCAUUUUGUUCAGCUAUGAGUAAACAUUUUCCUUCAUUUUUAAAAAUUAAGUUGCAUUUUUGGCCA
Molecule: RNA transcript, 1293 nt
Organism: Homo sapiens (human)
Lineage: Eukaryota; Metazoa; Chordata; Mammalia; Primates; Hominidae
Gene: TMEM14EP
Gene name: transmembrane protein 14E, pseudogene
Exons: 1
Source: RefSeq, marked validated